GGUUGUUCCCUGGGGGCAGUUUGUCUUGAAAACAGGCUAAAAGUGUUCGAUUCACUCCGCAACCU
This 65-nucleotide transfer RNA is filed under the name Conus sp. MNCN 95052. RNAcentral describes it as "tRNA-Ser". The record is from RNAcentral. Lineage: Eukaryota; Metazoa; Mollusca; Gastropoda; Neogastropoda; Conidae.